Molecule: small nuclear RNA, 107 nt
Organism: Rhincodon typus (whale shark)
Lineage: Eukaryota; Metazoa; Chordata; Chondrichthyes; Orectolobiformes; Rhincodontidae
Source: RefSeq, a predicted model, not a curated record
AUCUUCUCAAGGGCAACACUUCUACUAAACUCGGAAUAACACAGCAAAGAUUAGCAUGGCCUCUGUGUAAGGAUGACACACAGAUUCCUGAAGCAUUCCAUAUUCUU